UACAGAGGGUGCAAGCGUUGCUCGGAUUUACUGGGCGUAAAGCGUGCGCAGACGGCUGAGCAAGUUGGACGUGAAAGCCUGGGGCUCAACCCCAGAAUUGCGUUCAAUACUACUCGGCUCGAGUAUGAGAGAGGGAAGUGGAAUUCCUGGUGUAGAGGUGAAAUUCGUAGAUAUCAGGAGGAACACCAGCGGCGAAGGCGGCUUCCUGGCUCAUUACUGACGUUCAGGCACGAAAGCGUGGGGAGCAAACAGG
This 253-nucleotide ribosomal RNA is filed under the name uncultured bacterium. Its description in RNAcentral is "partial 16S ribosomal RNA". It matches the Rfam family "Bacterial small subunit ribosomal RNA", at positions 524 to 776 of the family's 1533-position model. The record is from RNAcentral.